UACAGAGGUCUCAAGCGUUGUUCGGAUUCAUUGGGCGUAAAGGGUGCGUAGGCGGCGCGGUAAGUCGGGUGUGAAAUCUCGGAGCUUAACUCCGAAACUGCAUUCGAUACUGCCGUGCUUGAGGACUGGAGAGGAGACUGGAAUUUACGGUGUAGCAGUGAAAUGCGUAGAUAUCGAGAGGAACACCAGUGGCGAAGGCGAGUCUCUGGACAUUUCCUGACGCUGAGGCACGAAAGCCAGGGGAGCAAACGGG
This 253-nucleotide ribosomal RNA is filed under the name uncultured bacterium. RNAcentral describes it as "partial 16S ribosomal RNA". It matches the Rfam family "Bacterial small subunit ribosomal RNA", at positions 524 to 776 of the family's 1533-position model. The record is from RNAcentral.